UGUGUGUGUGAUGUAUUUCUGUCACAUGACAUGGUCAUGCAGUUGUCUACAUUAAUCUGCAGUAUCUUUAUUCGUUUCUUUUUACAUUAUAGGAACAUCUUUGCUGAUACACUUCCUGUGCAUGGGAAAUAUACGCUCACCUGGAUGUUGACCAAAGCUAAUGUAAAUACAGGUGUAAAUUGGUUAUGGGUUGAAUUAUGAGCUAUUCUCUAUGUCAGCUGGCAACAGAGAAGCAAAAUAGACAGACAAUGUGACAAUUAAAGUAGUUUUUCAGGCUGUAUCUGUAAUCACAGGAAAUAGACUUCAUUCUUUGACAAUGAGGAAAAUGCUUCAGGGAACAAAUUCCCACAUGAAUUAUCCUCGAUAACAGCAAAACUGUUGUGGUGGCAGCCCGGCUGACGGUCCACUCACCUCAGUCCUCCACUCCGUCAGCUGGGCUUGCCACCCUGCCCUCUCCACUCAGACCUCUUCCACGGCGUCCUCCUGGCUCCUCCCCGUGCCUCCUCGCUUCCUCGGUCCCCAGGGCCCCGUGCCCAUGUUUCCCCCCGGCGUCCGCCUCUCCCUCACCUCCACUCCCUCAACCCUGUUUCCCCUUCAAUAAAGCCUGUUCUUCCCGAG
This is a long non-coding RNA of Micropterus salmoides (largemouth bass), 618 nucleotides long. RefSeq lists it as uncharacterized. NCBI's taxonomy places the organism in Eukaryota, Metazoa, Chordata, Actinopteri, Centrarchiformes, Centrarchidae. The record is from RefSeq and is a predicted model, not a curated record. The transcript is spliced from 2 exons.